AUCGAACGCUGGCGGCAGGCCUAACACAUGCAAGUCGAACGAGUGGCGGACGGGUGAGUAAUGUCUGGGAAACUGCCUGACGGAGGGGGAUAACUACUGGAAACGGUAGCUAAUACCGCAUACCAUCAGAUGUGCCCAGGUGGGUUGAGCUAGUUGGGGGGGUAACGGCUCACCAAGGCGACGGUCCCUAGCUGGUCUGAGAGGAUGACCGGCCACACUGGAACUGAGACACGGUCCAGACUCCUACGGGAGGCAGCAGUGGGGAAUAUUCGGCAAUGGGCGCAAGCCUGAUGCAGCCAUGCCGCGUGUGUGAAGAAGGCUUUCGGGUUGUAAAGUACUUUCGGCGGGGAGGCGUUACCCGCAGAAGAAGCACCGGCUAACUCCGUGCCAGCAGCCGCGGUAAUAC
This 406-nucleotide ribosomal RNA is filed under the name uncultured bacterium. RNAcentral's name for it is "partial 16S ribosomal RNA". It matches the Rfam family "Bacterial small subunit ribosomal RNA", at positions 29 to 526 of the family's 1533-position model. The record is from RNAcentral.